Molecule: transfer RNA, 73 nt
Filed under: Myotis davidii
Lineage: Eukaryota; Metazoa; Chordata; Mammalia; Chiroptera; Vespertilionidae
Rfam family: tRNA
About the family: Transfer RNA (tRNA) molecules are approximately 80 nucleotides in length. Their secondary structure includes four short double-helical elements and three loops (D, anti-codon, and T loops).
Source: Rfam by way of RNAcentral
GCUGGCGUGGCUCAGUGGAUAGAGCAUCGGCCUGCAGACUGAAGGAUUGCAGGUUAGAUUCCUGUCAAGGGCA